CAACAAUCAUUCCUGGAAAAACUUCACGAGUUCCCUUUACAAUAAGGUCCUCAGCACGGUUCAUAUCUAAAGGACGCAUGUCGUGAAGGUUAGAAACAAGUUGAGCACUGGCAAGGCGCUUGACACAGAAAGCGCCGAAUGGACCAUCAUGACCAGUAGCAGAAACAACCAAAUGGGCAUUAAUAGUGUUUGGGUCCAUGCAAGAUUGAAGACCGUGAUUCAAGGAAACAAGGGUCCAAUUUGUAACAACACCGGCAAUGCGUUGCUUACCAUCUUUUCCUUCCUUAACAAUCAAAUCUUCAACAGCAGUGGCAUUGAAAAGUUUGACAUUAGGAAGUGCCAAAGUACGGGCCAUAACAGUGCUGGUGAAAAGAGCGGCAUGUUUGACCACAACAUAAUCACCCUCAUCUUCGUAAGGAACACCAAUUUCAUUUAAGAAAAGAUCAGCUGGCUUACGAACAACCAUUGCACUAAAAAGCUGACCACCAAGCCAAGCACCACCACCUGGAGCAACACUAGCCUCGAUGAUAGCAAUCUUCAAAUCAGGGCGGCGAGUUCCAAUGUAGUAAGCUGCAGUAAGUCCUGCAGAACCAGCUCCAACAAUAACAAUGUCGGAUUCAGCAUAUUUAUCCAAGUCGCUGAAAUAGCGACGAGUCAUAGCACGGCUUACAGUGCUUUCACGAAUAGGAGCAAAGCUAAAUGACUCGUCCAAAGAGUAAGUAGGGUAAGCCUUUGAUAAAGCACCCAUUUCACUUUUCACUACAGUGUUAUGAGCAGUCUUUUCAACUGGCAAGUCAGUCUUGAAGGCAGUUUGGGGUGUAACGACAGCAGUAGCAGGGGCCAUUUUGAAACUUAAGAAUAAUAUUCAGAACCGAUAGUGGAAUGUUCAAUUGAUGCUGAAACAUGCUAUGAGCCCCCUUUAUAUAUCAAAAUUCUUACCAUCUUUCGACUUUCAUUUUUGUGACUACAAACAAACUUGCCUUUGGCUGCCGGGUUCAUAACUCCGUAGUAUCAAAUUUCGGUUACAUAUUUCCAGUUUCGGUUGCAAAUUAGUGGAUCUGAUUUUUUAAGCUUUUCUGGUCAUUUUAUAUAAAUCUUUGCAUAGAAAUAGUGUAGUCUGAUGAUAUGACACAAGCAUUAAUAUUGAACAGAGAUCGAAUUUUAAAGACAAUUAGCGUCAAAAAAAUUAAUUUUUUAAUGUUAGACUUAAGAUCAAUAGUACCACAAAAGU
Molecule: non-coding RNA, 1231 nt
Organism: Schizosaccharomyces pombe (fission yeast)
Lineage: Eukaryota; Fungi; Ascomycota; Schizosaccharomycetes; Schizosaccharomycetales; Schizosaccharomycetaceae
Source: the annotation of a GenBank genome assembly